Long non-coding RNA from Chelonoidis abingdonii (Abingdon island giant tortoise), 2352 nucleotides. RefSeq lists it as uncharacterized. The record is from RefSeq and is a predicted model, not a curated record. NCBI's taxonomy places the organism in Eukaryota, Metazoa, Chordata, Testudines, Testudinidae.
UGGGAGGAGGGUUCAAGGGUCUAUCCGGAGGGCCCCGGCCAAUGAGGAGACUGACCAUGGAGCGUGUGCGUUCUAGCUGCGCGAGAGGCGGAACCUGCCCUUCCCGCGCAGCAGCAAAGGGAAGAUUGUAAUACGCGAGCAGGCUGAGUCGCAUGUCAUACAUCCAGACUGGAGGUACUAUUCAGCUGAAUCAGCUAACGUUUCUACAGCACUUUAAUAAUGUGAAGCAGUGAGUUCUCAGAGGAGAGGAGAAGAAAAAAAAUCUUUAUGCCAAAGGAAGAUUUAAAUCUUCAAAUUACUUUCUUCAUCCUAAGUGGGAACCCCAUUACUGUAAUUAAAGCACAUUGCAGUCCAUUAUGAUCCCACAGAUGGCAUGUACUGCAACAGGGCCAUAAUGGCAAAGUGAAAUGAGGUGGAAUGACUGAAUUACAUAACCCCCCACCAAUGCCCAUCACUAAGUCCGUUAAUUUUGUCAAGUGUCCAUCGCACAACACGGUGGUGCUGACCCCUGGCUGGAAAUCGAACCCAGAUCUCCUGAGUUCAAGAUCACCCUACACAGUUCACACCGCUCAAAUAUUCCUCAUGGGCCAAAGGAGACUUCCACUGCCGAGAUCAACUGUUCAAGAAAGGAGACCAGCUUUGAAGAGGGAACAGUCUGGGCUUUUGACAACUCUUAAGUAGACUCAAAAUAACAAUGGUAAACGGAGACCUAGCCAAUAUACUCCCCCACAUACACUAAUUCAAGGACCGCUCCUCUUCCUUUCACAAGAAGAGUUAGAUCUGCAGAAGUGAAGGUAUUUUCUCUAACCCUUGAGGCAAGGCAAUGGCUGAGAAACCCUGCUCUGUAACCCCUUUCAAAGCACUGUACGUCAGACUGAAGCAGUAAAUCCGAUAAUACAUCCUGACACCUGACUGUCCACCUUCCAUUCAUGUACAGAAGUGACCUCUACAGUCAGUGCAAAAGGUCACGGAUGGAUUCUAAGAAAACGCUUGGUCCCUCAAGGUGACACAGAUCAGAUUAAACUACCCAGAACUGACUAGCACCAAGCACUGUGCACAGGCAACAAGCCACAGGCUGGAGGCCAUUCACGCAGUGCGGGUUGUGUAUUUUCCAGUGGAAGAUUAUCCUGAGAAACUGAUUCAGGCCGGAACCGGAAAGAAAAAUGCCCUGCAGCACCUAUGUGGGGUGUGUGCAGGGCUGCCUCAUUCCGGAUCAGCAGGAGUCAAGGUAGUAUUUCAGAAAUAGCCACCUGAUGCCAAUUCUUCUGUAGCACAUUGCACCACAGAAAAGCACUUGGACCCCAAAUGCCAGGAGUUUUGCCAUCGACUUCAGUGAGAUUACGAUUCGGCCUCUAAAGAGGAGAGAAUAAAGAAGUAUGGCUUGAAGAUUCUUCCUUGUGCCAAACAGAAGAGGGCAGGGCCUUUUCACUGAGCAUGUGAAUUGACUUUUCACAGACAAUAUUCUUGCUCAGAGACAGAUUAUUUAGAGUCUUUCAUUCAUAGUAACAAGUUCCAACAGAAAAACCAACCCCAUGGGUUUCCAUCAGAGCUAGGUGCUGUCCACAUGUGUGAAUUUGGAUCCAAAACUGAGCAGCCCCAGAGUUUUGAUCCGGUCUGUUGACCCCAGCUCUAGUUUCAAAAGCCCCUGCAUGAGAAACAUUUUUUGUCUGUUUUAAUUCCUGCUGUGCCGGAGGAAGGGUGUGUGACCGCAGCAUCUUCAGGAGACGUGUUAGAGACGCUUGCAGAAGGCUGAGAGGUGAUUUUUCUUGGUAACAUAGAUAAAUAUUUUUUCUAAACUUUAUUCAGGGCACCGGAUUUUCUGGCUGAGCAAACAUAAGAAUCUCUUUGACUUCCUUCAUAUCGCUCCUGGAGCUCAGAGGGCUCCUUCAAUACUUAACUCAGCAACCAGAAGUUUGAUUUAAUUCCUCUCAUAUUUUGCAGUGAGCAGAUCUAUGAAAAGCAGGAGUGCUAGUCAACAAAGAUCAGAAUGGAAUGUGGCGGUGAGGGCUCUGUCUUUAAUAAAAACAAACCCAAGUUUUAGUUCCACUACCUGUUACCACAAAUUUUGUGAAUCAAGGCUCCAAUCCUGCAAAAAUUUAAGCACAUGCUUAACUUUAAGCAUGGGAGCUGUCCCAUUGACUUCAAUGGAUUCACUCAAGCACUUAAACCCUGGGUCUGAUCCAAAGCCCAUGGAAGGCAACGGAGAGACUCCAAAUGUGUUAAGUGUUUGCAAGGUCAGAGACAAAAACAGCAACUCCAGAGGCAUGGCAGAAAUUCCUGGGAACUCAUGGAGACAGGCAUAUGUCAUAUACAUAGGCCUUGUCUACACUAAAGGGAAAAGUCAAUCUAAGC